This 431-nucleotide ribosomal RNA is filed under the name uncultured bacterium. RNAcentral describes it as "partial 16S ribosomal RNA". It matches the Rfam family "Bacterial small subunit ribosomal RNA", at positions 29 to 507 of the family's 1533-position model. The record is from RNAcentral.
AACGAACGCUGGCGGCAGGCUUAACACAUGCAAGUCGAACGCCCCGCCAGGGGAGUGGCCGACGGGUGAGUAACGCGUGGGAACAUACCCUUUUCUACGGAAUAGCUCUGGGAAACUGGAAUUAAUACCGUAUACGCCCUACGGGGGAAAGAUUUAUCGGGGAAGGAUUGGCCCGCGUUGGAUUAGCUAGUUGGUGGGGUAAAGGCCUACCAAGGCGACGAUCCAUAGCUGGUCUGAGAGGAUGAUCAGCCACAUUGGGACUGAGACACGGCCCAAACUCCUACGGGAGGCAGCAGUGGGGAAUAUUGGACAAUGGGCGCAAGCCUGAUCCAGCCAUGCCGCGUGAGUGAUGAAGGCCUUAGGGUUGUAAAGCUCUUUCACCGAUGAAGAUAAUGACGGUAGUCGGAGAAGAAGCCCCGGCUAACUUCGUG